This 1779-nucleotide long non-coding RNA is filed under the name Fragaria vesca (wild strawberry). RNAcentral describes it as "long non-coding RNA (FVES_LNC005079)". The record is from RNAcentral. Lineage: Eukaryota; Viridiplantae; Streptophyta; Magnoliopsida; Rosales; Rosaceae.
GUAGCUGAUGCUCUUAGUCGAAAUCCCUCCAUAUCUUUAUCUCAUAUAAAGAUGGUUCGUGUUUCGCUUCUUUGUGAGUUGCGAGCUACAGGAGUGGAUUUGUCAGUGGAUGAGGUUGGUGCUUUGAUAGCCAGUUUUCAUGUGAGGCCAGUUUUGGUUGAUAGAGUGCGGGAAGCACAGUAUAAUGAUCCUUCCAUAGUUCGAUUGAUGGAAAGAGCUUCGAAUGGAGCCGCAGCCGAUCAUUUUUCAGUUAGAAGAGAUGGGACUCUAUUGUUUAAAAAUCGGCUAUGUGUUCCAAAAAGAAAUGAAGAGUUGAAGAGUGAGAUUAUGGAGGAAGCUCAUAGCUCGGCAUAUGCUGCUCAUCCGGGUAGCACAAAAAUGUAUCGGAUUUUGAAGGAUUAUUAUUGGUGGCCAAACAUGAAGAGGGAAAUUGCAGCUUAUGUGAGUAGAUGUCUGAUUUGUCAGCAAGUCAAGGCUGAAAGGCAGAAGCCUUCAGGAUUGCUUGAGCCGUUGCCCAUUCCAGUGUGGAAGUGGGACCACAUCACCAUGGAUUUUGUUUUUAGCUUACCUCGUACCCGUGAUGGGCAUGACGGUAUUUGGGUGAUUGUGGAUAGACUCACCAAGUCUGCACAUUUCUUGCCAGUGGGAAAGAAGUAUAAAUUAGAUAAAUUGGCGGAGCUCUAUGUGAAUGAAAUUGUGAGGCUUCAUGGUGUUCCUGAAUCAAUAGUGUCAGAUCGGGACCCUCGAUUCGCUUCUAAAUUCUGGGGAGCUCUUCAGGCAGCUUUAGGUACCCAAUUACUCUUCAGCACUGCUUUUCAUCCUCAGACUGAUGGGCAGUCCGAGAGGACUAUUCAGACUUUGGAGGAUAUGUUGAGGGCUUGUGCCAUGCAGUUCAGAGGUAGUUGGGAUAAAAACCUGUCUUUGAUGGAAUUUGCCUAUAAUAAUAGCUAUCAUUCUAGCAUUGGUAUGGCGCCCUUUGAGGCUCUUUAUUGGAGGCAGUGUCGCACGCCUUUGUGUUGGAAUGAAGUAGGGGAAAAAGAGUUUUGUGGCCCAGAGUUAAUCCAUGUUACGAAUGAGAAGAUUAAAGUGGUUAGAGAUAGACUCAAGACCGCUCAAAGUAGGCAGAAGAGUUAUGCAGAUGUCCGUAGGAGAGAUCUUGAAUUUCAAGUAGGUGAUUGGGUGUUCCUGAAAUUAUCUCCUUGGAAAGGGGUUGUGCGCUUUGGGAAGCGUGGGAAGCUUAGCCCGAGGUAUAUUGGCCCUUAUGAGAUUAUAGAGCGAGUUGGCUCACUUGCUUAUCGAUUAGCCUUGCCUCGAGGGUUAUCCCGGAUACAUAAUGUGUUUCAUGUAUCCAUGCUUCGCAAGUAUAUUGCCGAUCCUUCUCAUGUGCUGCAAGAGCAGCCGAUCAGUUUGACGAGAGAUUUGACCUAUGAAGAGGAACCGGUUCAGAUUCUCGAUCGAAAGGAGCAAGUGCUUAGGAACAAGACAAUCCCGCUUGUCAAGGUGCUUUGGAGAAGUCAUCAAGUAGAAGAAGCUACUUGGGAAUCAGAGGAGCAAAUGAUGCAGCAGUAUCCGUAUCUCUUCGGAUGACAUGUAUGCUAAUUUCGAGGACGAAAUUUUUAUAAGGAGGGGAGAAUUGUCACAUCCCGACCCUUAUAUUUUUACCUUAUUUACUAGCCUGAUUAUAAUAAGAAUUUUACCGUCUCCGUCAUUGUGAAAAUAGUUUAAUUGGUCCCUAAAGGGGUUUCGGGGACGAUUAUGUGCGGAGGAUUAUUCGUAUGG